ACAAGAGCCAGCUGAGUACAAUUAACAGCUUUUUCAUUAGCCAGCUUUUCAUGGACUGAUGUCAAAUAAACACCAGAUCCCUUAACUAGGUCUAUCAUCUACCCAAAUAACAGUUUUAGUAUCUAAUAUUCAGGGAAGUGGUGUCGCUGCUUCUUAAAUGAAAGAUAAUAAACAGAUGUGGCUAUACAAACAUUUACUGUCAACUGAUAUUUUUCCAACUUCUGUUUUUAGCUGUUUAUAUUUCUCUUUAAGUUUUUUAUACUUUCCUA
Long non-coding RNA from Amphimedon queenslandica, 269 nucleotides. RefSeq lists it as uncharacterized. The record is from RefSeq and is a predicted model, not a curated record. The transcript has 2 exons. NCBI's taxonomy places the organism in Eukaryota, Metazoa, Porifera, Demospongiae, Haplosclerida, Niphatidae.